CCUGCAGGCCUAGUAAACAUACAUUACCUGCAGGCCUAGGUAUCAUGUAUUACCUGCAGGCCUAGGUAACAUGCAUUACCUUCAGGCCUAGGUAACAUGUAUUACCUGCAGGCCUAGGUAAAAUGCAUUACCUGCAGGCCUAGAUGAUUUCAUUAUAUAAUUCCUAACAGAGAUCUUGUCUCA
This is a long non-coding RNA of Etheostoma cragini (Arkansas darter), 183 nucleotides long. RefSeq lists it as uncharacterized. NCBI's taxonomy places the organism in Eukaryota, Metazoa, Chordata, Actinopteri, Perciformes, Percidae. The transcript is spliced from 2 exons. The record is from RefSeq and is a predicted model, not a curated record.